GACGUAGGGGGCGAGCGUUGUCCGGAUUUAUUGGGCGUAAAGCGCGCGCAGGCGGCUCGGAAAGUCGGGUGUGAAAACCCGGGGCUCAACCCCGGACCUGCAUCCGAUACUCCCGGGCUAGAGGCAGGUAGGGGAGAGUGGAAUUCCUGGUGUAGCGGUGAAAUGCGUAGAUAUCGUAAGGAAGACCAGUGGCGAAGGCGGCUCACUGGCCCGGUACUGACGCUGAGGUGCGAAAGCGUGGGGAGCAAACAGG
RNAcentral lists this ribosomal RNA (253 nucleotides) under uncultured bacterium. Its description in RNAcentral is "partial 16S ribosomal RNA". It matches the Rfam family "Bacterial small subunit ribosomal RNA", at positions 524 to 776 of the family's 1533-position model. The record is from RNAcentral.